Molecule: long non-coding RNA, 495 nt
Organism: Papaver somniferum (opium poppy)
Lineage: Eukaryota; Viridiplantae; Streptophyta; Magnoliopsida; Ranunculales; Papaveraceae
Exons: 2
Source: RefSeq, a predicted model, not a curated record
GUGUGGAGGCUGACGGCAGUGUGAGGAGGCGGAAAAACCAGUUGCUGGAGUAGUUCUUGUUGCCGUUUCCAAUAUCAAAAUGGGGGAAUAAGAACCAUUACACAUAGCUUGGUGGAGAUCAAAGAGAAGACAGAAGAUACAGAUUUUUGAAAUUCUUGUGAUAAUGACUUAUUCUCUCAAAACUAAAUUGAUGGUCUCAGAAUUAGACGUGAGAUAUUCUUCAUCUCCGGGUUCUCAUUGAUGGGAGAAACAUAACAGAGAAAAAGAUCAGUUGGGAUUGGGAUUGGUUGUACUGGUAAUUAUUGAAUUAGAGAUUUUGUAAAUUUCUCACAGUUUCCAAUUGGUUUUAGUCAGGAAAAAAUUUCAGGGUGUUUUCAUUUCUGAUUUUGGUAGUGCUGUAUGUACUUGUAACAUUCUCUUAUGAACAUAGAAUGAUCAGUUCAGAGCUUGCAUUUCAACUGUUAGUGAAGAUUUCCAUUGCAGAUCUUAUUAGCU